GUCCCAGUUCGGACUGCGGUCUGCAACCCGACCGCACGAAGCUGGAAUCGCUAGUAAUCGCGAAUCAGAAUGUCGCGGUGAAUACGUUCCCGGGCCUUGUACACACCGCCCGUCAAGCCAUGGAAGCCGGGGGCGCUUGAAGUGCGUUGCCGCAAGGCGCGCCCUAGAGCGAAACCGGUGACUGGGGCUAAGUCGUAACAAGGUACC
Molecule: ribosomal RNA, 207 nt
Filed under: uncultured bacterium
Lineage: Bacteria
Description: partial 16S ribosomal RNA
Rfam family: Bacterial small subunit ribosomal RNA
Source: RNAcentral